Molecule: ribosomal RNA, 253 nt
Filed under: uncultured bacterium
Lineage: Bacteria
Description: partial 16S ribosomal RNA
Rfam family: Bacterial small subunit ribosomal RNA
Source: RNAcentral
UACGGAGGGUGCAAGCGUUAUCCGGAUUUACUGGGUUUAAAGGGUGUGUAGGCGGGUCUUUAAGUCAGUGGUGAAAUCUCCGGGCUCAACCUGGAAACUGCCAUUGAUACUAAAGGUCUUGAAUUCUGUUGAGGUGGGCGGAAUAAGUCAUGUAGCGGUGAAAUGCAUAGAUAUGACUUAGAACACCAAUUGCGAAGGCAGCUCGCUAAGCAGAUAUUGACGCUGAGGCACGAAAGCGUGGGGAUCAAACAGG